RNAcentral lists this ribosomal RNA (263 nucleotides) under uncultured bacterium. RNAcentral describes it as "partial 16S ribosomal RNA". It matches the Rfam family "Bacterial small subunit ribosomal RNA", at positions 335 to 590 of the family's 1533-position model. The record is from RNAcentral.
GCCCCUACGGGGCGCAGCAGUAGGGAAUCUUCCACAAUGGACGAAAGUCUGAUGGAGCAACGCCGCGUGAGUGAAGAAGGGUUUCGGCUCGUAAAGCUCUGUUGGUAGUGGAGAAAGAUAGAGGUAGUAACUGGCCUUUAUUUGACGGUAAUUACUUAGAAAGUCACGGCUAACUACGUGCCAGGAGCCGCGGUAAUACGUAGGUGGCAAGCGUUGUUCGGAUUUAUUGGGCGUAAAGCGAGUGGAGGGGGUUUAAUAAAUUU